RNAcentral lists this ribosomal RNA (585 nucleotides) under uncultured bacterium. RNAcentral describes it as "bacterial SSU rRNA". It matches the Rfam family "Bacterial small subunit ribosomal RNA", at positions 338 to 916 of the family's 1533-position model. The record is from RNAcentral.
CCUACGGGAGGCAGCAGUGGGGAAUUUUGGACAAUGGGGGCAACCCUGAUCCAGCAAUGCCGCGUGAGUGAAGAAGGCCUUCGGGUUGUAAAGCUCUUUUGUCAGGGAAGAAACAGCAGCUCUAACACAGACUGCGAAUGACGGUACCUGAAGAAUAAGCACCGGCUAACUACGUGCCAGCAGCCGCGGUAAUACGUAGGGUGCGAGCGUUAAUCGGAAUUACUGGGCGUAAAGCGUGCGCAGGCGGUUAUACAAGACAGGCGUGAAAUCCCCGGGCUUAACCUGGGAAUGGCGUCUGUGACUGUAUAGCUAGAGUGUGUCAGAGGGGGGUGGAAUUCCACGUGUAGCAGUGAAAUGCGUAGAUAUGUGGAGGAACACCAAUGGCGAAGGCAGCCCCCUGGGAUAACACUGACGCUCAUGCACGAAAGCGUGGGGAGCAAACAGGAUUAGAUACCCUGGUAGUCCACGCCCUAAACGAUGCUGACUAGUUGUUGGGAAUUUACAUUCUCAGUAACGUAGCUAACGCGUGAAGUCAGCCGCCUUGGGGAGUACGGUCGCAAGAUUAAAACUUAAAGGAAUUGACGG